GGAAGUGUAACUCAGUGGUAUAGAGUGCUGGCCUGGCAUGCACAAGGCCCUGGGUUCAAUCCCCAGCACUUCAA
RNAcentral lists this transfer RNA (74 nucleotides) under Ictidomys tridecemlineatus (thirteen-lined ground squirrel). RNAcentral's name for it is "Spermophilus tridecemlineatus (thirteen-lined ground squirrel) tRNA". It matches the Rfam family "tRNA". Rfam says of the family: Transfer RNA (tRNA) molecules are approximately 80 nucleotides in length. Their secondary structure includes four short double-helical elements and three loops (D, anti-codon, and T loops). RNAcentral also lists the same sequence under 1 other name. Lineage: Eukaryota; Metazoa; Chordata; Mammalia; Rodentia; Sciuridae. The record is from Rfam by way of RNAcentral.